CUAAAAGCAAACCAAUCCCAGUCAAAGUGACUUGUUUUAAAGAAUCCCCACAUCCCCCAGUUCCCCCAGCAGCGUCUGGUAAACUGAUUGUGCUCUCUUCUUAUGCUAAUAACACUAAUGCAUCCACAUUAUCACCUGGCUCUUCACAGCAAAAAGUACCAACAGUAUCCGGGCUAACUGAGUCUCAUCCAAUCACGCUCCAGAUAUCUGGGUGGGGUUAUAUAUAUACUGUUUUCCUGACAGAAUCUACAUUAACUUUUUUAAUUUUUUUGUGAAAUAAAAUUCCAAAACCUUAAAGGACAAACUGCUUUUUGAGAUUCCUACAUUGCCUACAAGGGACCACAUACAACAAAGCCAACUAAGGCCAUUUCUCAUCUCUUUUUUCCAUUCAACACUGAAAAGGAAAAUGAGACCCAGAAGAGUCUGUCCUGAAAAGGAAGCUUUGAAAUUCAUCGCAUCUGGGAAAGAUAAAGACAUAUUUCAGUCAAGAGAAAGAUUGUUGAUGAACAGAAAAGAGCAGAUUUGUGUGCAUCUGUGACCACAAACAUCACUACAGGAGAAGAAAUGAUGUUCGACUGCGGAGAUCCUGACAGCUCAUGGAGACAGGUAGCAGGAUGCUUGGUCCAUUACAUCUGACGGAUGGACAACACCCUCAUCAGACCACUACACCCUACACCCAGGAUCCACUUGGUCUGUCUCUACAUGUCAGAACGAGUAACUUCAGUCUUCAAUGGGAUGAAAGACAAAAAAUAUCUUAAGCAGAAUGCUGAGCAAAUCAGUGGAAGAGCAUCCUACUAUUGAGGAAUGCCUUCAGGAAGUCAAAACUAUGUGCAAAGACUUAUUGUAGAGUUUACAAUAAGCAUUAAAAUGAUUAGACAAACAGGAUUCUAAAGGGUAAUGGAAGAGACUUGAAAACAGUUAAAUACUUUGUGCUCAACAGAAUAAUUUCAGUUAAGAGAAGUUUGGGUCAACAGUACUGAGCCCAUAAACCCUGAGAGCUAUUUUUAGAGAGAUUAUGAGAAUAAAGUUUGACUUGAUUUCAUUAAAAA
This is a long non-coding RNA of Carassius auratus (goldfish), 1049 nucleotides long. RefSeq lists it as uncharacterized. The record is from RefSeq and is a predicted model, not a curated record. The transcript is spliced from 4 exons. Lineage: Eukaryota; Metazoa; Chordata; Actinopteri; Cypriniformes; Cyprinidae.